RNAcentral lists this ribosomal RNA (363 nucleotides) under uncultured bacterium. RNAcentral's name for it is "partial 16S ribosomal RNA". It matches the Rfam family "Bacterial small subunit ribosomal RNA", at positions 338 to 698 of the family's 1533-position model. The record is from RNAcentral.
CCUACGGGAGGCUGCAGUGAGGAAUAUUGGUCAAUGGGCGCGAGCCUGAACCAGCCAAGUAGCGUGAAGGAUGACUGCCCUACGGGUUGUAAACUUCUUUUGUCAAGGAAUAAAGUGAGGCACGUGUGCCUUUUUGAAUGUAUUUUAUGAAUAAGGAUCGGCUAACUCCGUGCCAGCAGCCGCGGUAAUACGGAGGAUCCGAGCGUUAUCCGGAUUUAUUGGGUUUAAAGGGUGCGUAGGUGGGUUGUUAAGUCAGUUGUGAAAGUCCGGGGCUCAACCCUAAAAUGGCAUUUGAUACUGGCAGCCUUGAGUACAGUUGAGGUAGGCGGAAUGCGUGGUGUAGCGGUGAAAUGCUUAGAUAUC